This 472-nucleotide ribosomal RNA is filed under the name uncultured bacterium. Its description in RNAcentral is "bacterial SSU rRNA". It matches the Rfam family "Bacterial small subunit ribosomal RNA", at positions 64 to 507 of the family's 1533-position model. The record is from RNAcentral.
GAGCGGGAAAGUUCCCUUCGGGGAGCAAGUACAGCGGCGAACGGGUGAGUAACACGUAGGUAACCUACCCUGGAGUCUGGGAUAACCUGCCGAAAGGCGGGCUAAUACCAGAUAAGACCACGGGGGCCACGGCCCCCUGGGGUAAAAGAUGGCCUAUGCUUGCAAGCUAUCACUCCGGGAUGGGCCUGCGCGCCAUUAGCUAGUUGGUGAGGUAACGGCUCACCAAGGCCGAGAUGGCUAGCUGGUAUGAGAGGAUGGCCAGCCACACUGGGACUGAGACACGGCCCAGACUCCUACGGGAGGCAGCAGUGGGGAAUAUUGCGCAAUGGGCGAAAGCCUGACGCAGCGACGCCGCGUGGGUGAUGAAGGCCUUCGGGUAGUAAAGCCCUGUACAAGAGGGACGAAACCUACGCCGACCUAAUACGUCGGCGACCUGACGGGACCUAUGAAGGAAGCACCGGCUAACUCCGUG